AAGAAUGCCACCAGAAAUUUUCGGCCUGAUAGUCUUCUCGGUGAAGGGGGAUUUGGAUGCGUCUACAAAGGAUGGAUCGACGAACACACAUUUACAGCUUCAAAGCCUGGAUCAGGAAUGGUGGUUGCUGUAAAGAAGCUCAAACCUGAAGGUUUUCAAGGUCAUAAAGAAUGGUUGGUAAGUGUUUGCUUUCAAUCCUGCAUAAAAAGAAAGUACUUUUGUUUUCUCAAUACACAUGGUAAUGAAAUUUUUAAUCAAUAUUUCAGACUGAGGUUAACUACCUUGGACAACUGUACCAUCCUAAUCUGGUUAAAUUAAUCGGUUACUGCUUGGAGGGAGAGAAUCGGCUAUUGGUCUAUGAGUUCAUGCCGAAAGGGAGCUUAGAGAACCAUCUGUUUAGAAGUAAGUUACAUAAACCAUUAUUCAGAAUGAUCUUUUUCUUUUGACAAAGAUGUUUUUGAAAAGUAUAAUGGUCAAAGUAAUGGAUAUUUGAGUUUCCUUGAUUUAUACGUUGAAUUUACUUGACAGGAGGACCACAACCACUGUCUUGGUCAGUGAGGAUGAAAGUGGCUAUUGGUGCUGCUAGAGGACUCUGUUUUCUUCAUAACGCCAAAUCACAAGUCAUAUACCGUGAUUUUAAAGCCUCUAACAUCCUACUUGAUGCGGUAAGAUAAACUGCGAGUUCUUCGUUUUUCUUUGUGUAAACUGUUUGUUUAUACUUAUCAUGCAAAGGGAUUGCAGGAGUUCAAUGCUAAACUCUCUGACUUUGGUUUAGCCAAGGCGGGUCCUACUGGUGAUAGAACUCACGUCUCUACUCAGGUCAUGGGCACUCAAGGAUAUGCAGCACCUGAAUAUGUUGCAACUGGUAUGCUUUACCUGGUUAUUAAUCUUCAAUCAUAUACUCUCUUCUGUCUCCGUUUUAAUCCUGAUUGAUUUACAGGUAGGUUGACGGCGAAAAGCGAUGUGUACAGCUUUGGAGUUGUGUUGCUUGAACUUCUAUCUGGAAGAAGAGCUGUUGAUAAAGC
Molecule: long non-coding RNA, 1025 nt
Filed under: Vigna radiata
Lineage: Eukaryota; Viridiplantae; Streptophyta; Magnoliopsida; Fabales; Fabaceae
Description: long non-coding RNA (VRAD_LNC011223)
Source: RNAcentral